UUAUCUGUUAGUAUGUAAAAUAUUAUAUAACAAUUCUCAAAAGACAGUACAAUUUCGAAAAGAUAAAAAGGUGAAAGUAAUAAAUAUUUAUGCGCGUUGCCAUAUUUUAGUUUGUACCAAUGUGAAUAUAAGCAUUUUUGUGAUGAAUUGAGCAUAACUACGAGCUUAUGUAGACACACUAUACAUGGAAGUAUUAUGUAUGCUAUAGUCAUAUUUGGCAUGAAAGUUCCAUGCUCUACAAUUUUAAAGCACCUGGAUGGUUGUAUGGUGUAUAUGGAUCUCUGCCUUGAGCUUUAUAGUUUCUUCGGUGCAUCCCAUAUGGGCGAUAUGAAAAAUUUAAGGAGAACCAGGGCGGAGAAAAUGGUUUUCCUGAAGAAAUGUGUUGAUUAUGUUCUUGCGAAAGUUGAAUGGUACUCACUGCACAAACUAUAUUCCUUGAACUACAAUGAGCGUAUUCAUCAAUUGGGUAAGUAACAAGUACAAGGCGAUGAAUUGUGUGGCUUUUCUAAGUUGGACCAGCUGAAUUAUGGAGUUAACAAGUUUGCUUACAUAUCUGUAUAUUGGUCACUCUCCUAGCGAUUCUUUUCUAUGAACUCCUUUUUUGUGUCUUGAUCUGUUUGUUCUUGGUAAAAAUUAAGAUCAACCCAUCGUAUUGGCUUGUAUACCUAUACCGGUCUUAGGUUAUACCAGUCUGAUGAUAAGAUGAACUAAUCCUCACUUUUGAGAUUGGCUGCCUUUUCAAGAAUGUUCAACUUUUAUUUCAACCCAUGCAUUCUGGUGAUCCGAUGAACUAAUCCUCACUUUUGAGAUUGUCCGCCUUUUGGAGAAUGUUCAACUUUUACUUCAAUCGCUCUUGUGCUCUGUGAUCAAGUAUCCAUCUUGUAAGAUUGUCACCUCUAUAUUAAUGUGGAUAUAUUAGCUAGCUCUCCAUGUUCUGCUCUAUCAGUGAAUACUCUGUUGCUGCAGUUCAGUACAUGUAUUUUUUGUAACAACUGGCAGUCAUUUGGAUGCUUAGUGACGUUAAAAAAAUGUCCCAACAAGAUUAGUGUGCAUAGAUCCGUCCGACAUCUAAACAAUGCACUUUCUGCAAUAAAAGAAAUCUUAAAUCUUCUUAAAGGAUGUAAGAAGAACCUAAAAUAUCAGUCUUUGUGUUGUAGUAUUCAAGUCUAUUGGAUUAGAUAAAGUUAGAAAACUAUCACAUGAUUUUGAAUGCACUGUCCAAUAGACGUAACACGAUUAGGUACUUAUGUUUGUUAAUAUAACCCCUUCUACCAUUUUAUUGACUAUAACCAUUAAUUAUGGUUCAUUUCAAUCAUGUUUAUACACAUGAAGCUUGUGCUGAUAAAAUUCAUAUGUCAGCUAAUGGAGCACUUGCAGGUUCAAGUUUGUUUAAGAUCACUGUGGAGUCACAUUUGAAGGUUGCUGCUGAUUUGCAUUUGAGGAUAAUGAUCGUGCUGAUAACUUUCAUGUUUCCUUUUCAACAAUUAGCCUUGUAUGUGCUCUGAUUGCAUGAGGAGCUGCUGACACCACCAUACCAAUUGUUUUUUGAGCGAUGUGCAUGGCUAAGUCAGAGAGAUGUCGAUAAUGAUCCCACUAAAAAAUUGGAGGAGAUGUACUGGUAGUUUUCUUAGCCAAAAACAGGAAGAUGAUCUCUCACUCUGGCCUUUCAGUUAACUAAGGUAUGUCUUUACAUCAAGAUUAUCAACCAUUUCCUAAUUUAUUCAGGCAAAGGAAAACCACUGCUUGUAAAUAAUUCAAAGAUUUCUUCUUUUUUACUUAUGUUUUU
Hordeum vulgare subsp. vulgare (domesticated barley) is the source of this 1786-nucleotide long non-coding RNA. RefSeq lists it as uncharacterized. The record is from RefSeq and is a predicted model, not a curated record. The transcript is spliced from 5 exons. NCBI's taxonomy places the organism in Eukaryota, Viridiplantae, Streptophyta, Magnoliopsida, Poales, Poaceae.